This is a long non-coding RNA of Platichthys flesus (European flounder), 510 nucleotides long. RefSeq lists it as uncharacterized. The transcript has 3 exons. NCBI's taxonomy places the organism in Eukaryota, Metazoa, Chordata, Actinopteri, Pleuronectiformes, Pleuronectidae. The record is from RefSeq and is a predicted model, not a curated record.
ACUUUUGUUGUUACUUUUUCUUCAUUUGCUCCAAUUUCUCCGUCAAUCUCCACGAAUAUCUAUACUACCAUUUUUAAUCAAUGUCAUGCAAUAAAAAGGUUUGGUUUUGUAGUAUUGUGUAAAGAAUGUAGCCUUAAUGUGCAAUCUUCUUCUUUUUAUCAGGAAAGUACAAUACUUGAGGCAGGUUGGAAACAUGAAGGAGGUGGUAAGCAGACAAAAUGUUAACCAGGAGUUGAUUUCGAUGCUGGAUGAAUGUGCUGAGGGUGUUCUCUACAAUCAGUGGAAAACUAAGUUUUCACCCGACUUGGUGCUGAGGGCAGAUGACAAGAAGAAACCCUACCCAGAAAACAUACUGGGAUUACUCCGCUUCAUGCGAAACCUCCAGGAGCACUAUCCCGAUGAUGCAGCCAGCGUUGAUCUGACAUCACUGUUUCCUCAUCUCUUUGGAUGCGUUUAUAAAUUCACCAUAAGGAAAAAGUGGAAUUUAGAUUAUCCCCUGAAGGGAAUGUU